AACGAACGCUGGCGGCGUGGAUAAGACAUGCAAGUCGAACGAGAGUUUGUUUAUAGCAAUAUGAGCGAACUUUAGUGGCGAAAGGGUGCGUAACACGUGGCUAUCUACCUCGAAGUGGGGGAUAUCUCCGAGAAAUCGGAGUUAAUACCGCAUGUGACCGUAAGGUCAAAGCUGGGGAUCGUAAGACCUGGCGCUUUGAGAUGAGGCUGCGGCCUAUCAGGUAGUUGGCGGGGUAAUGGCCCACCAAGCCUAAGACGGGUAGCUGGUCUGAGAGGACGACCAGCCACACUGGAACUGAGACACGGUCCAGACACCUACGGGUGGCAGCAGUCGAGGAUUUUUCUCAAUGGGGGAAACCCUGAAGGAGCGACGCCGCGUGAGGGAUGAAGGUCUUCGGAUUUGUAAACCUCUGUCAUCUGGGAACAAUGCUAGUCACCUAACACGUGCCUAGUUGAUAGUACCGGAAGAGGAAGCAGUGGCUAACUCUGUGCCAG
RNAcentral lists this ribosomal RNA (494 nucleotides) under uncultured bacterium. RNAcentral describes it as "bacterial SSU rRNA". It matches the Rfam family "Bacterial small subunit ribosomal RNA", at positions 29 to 511 of the family's 1533-position model. The record is from RNAcentral.